AUAAAAGACGGUAGGCAUUUAAUUUUUCAGAAAUUAAAACGUAAUUAUCCGGACAGUAAUACCUGUUUUAUUGUCAGUAAAGGAUGGUUUGGAAAGGUACGUGACGUGAGUUAAAGGUCACGUCCAGGCGGGCAAGUCAGCCAGCCGACUGACGAUAAAGUACACAACCACAUAUCUCCCGUUACACGUUGUCAUAUUUGUCAUACAAAGUUCGAUGGGCGGCAUAUAAAGAUUAAUGGGUUGACAUAUUUAUCGUUAUGUAUUAUUCUACGCAUUUAUAUUACGUAAAGAAUAUUUUCCCACACAAUUUUGGAACACAUUAAAUAAAUUAGCCUUGCUAUUUAUGGAAACUAAUGCUUCAGCAAACACGAUUUCAAAUAUCAUGAGCAUUUUUAAGAACGAAUUAGUCAUGCUAAGUGAUGGAUAGGUGCAGUAUAGAAAUUAGCACUAAAUAAGGAACUUAAGGAAAGCUAUUCACCUGUGUGUGUUCUGAGAUGUGUAACUAAACAAUUACUUUGAGUGAAUUUAGCAGAACAUUGAGAACAUGAGAAUGACUUUACACCAUUGUGUGAACUUAUGUGUCUGCUAAUUGAUUUCCAUGUACUGAAAUAAGCAGAACAGAAGGAACAUGAAAAUGGUUUUCUACCAUAUUGUGUUUUUAUAUGAUUAUUAAGUGAAUUCUUUACACUAAACGUGGCUAAACAAUUUAAACAUGAGAAUGGCCUCUCACCAGUGUGUGUUCUGAGGUGUGUAUUCAAAUGACUCUUUUGAAUGAAUGCAACAGAACAUUAUGAACAUGAGAAUAGUUAUAGAGCUGGGUGGUCUACCGAACUAGAAGACUGCCUCCAGUUUUAUAUAUGAUACAGUAACUGAGUGAAAAACCGUUGAAAUGUUCAAAAAAACACUGGAUGAAUGUAACGUAAGAUUUGUUAUCCGUGUUUUAUAAUUUGUAAAAAAUGUUUAGGCUAUAUAACAAUAAAAUUUGAAUACUUUACUAAGUCAAAAUUUGAUGUAAAAUUAUGCUACUCUUCCUUGAUGCAACUAUUUCUUAAGGCGGCAUGGUAUCUAAACCAGAGCUAAAUGCAUUAAUUAAAAACUGAAGGUUACUUGAAGCCAAACUUCUGCCUUAGUAAUUUUGAACAUUUAAUUGCUGCAGAAGAAACAACGCUCGAGAAUUGUCUUUUUAGGACGUCUGCUAAUAAAGUUGGCAAAUAACAUUAUGUAGGAUUGUUGUUUUGCAGUUUUUCAAUGUUGUCUUCCAAAAACCAAUAACAUCCAACUGACGCUUAAGGGCGGGUACAGACUAGAACAUUUCAACGGACAGAACAUUGUUCGCGAACAUGUUUGCAACCAAUGUGGACGGGAAAACGAACAUUUCCCCGUAACAAAAAAUGUUCGGUUGUUUGUUCGGUUGCGAUCCGAUAUUUGUCGGUUUUUGCCCGUCACAUCAAAGGAUGUUCGCCGUGGCUCGGAUAACAGUCUGGACGUCGCUGCGAACACUUCCUGCGAACAUUCAGUUGUCGACGUGGAGCGGUGUUGUCUUCACGGAGUUAGUAGCGGUGCGUGACUCUUUUGUUAUAUGAGAAUGGAGUGGUCCAAGGAAGAUCAAAUAAAACUGAUAGAUUUGUAUAAACAACAAACAGUGAUAUGGGACCCAAACAAUGUUAAUCAUUUCAACAAAAUUAGAAAACAAGACGCGUGGGAAGAAAUCGGGGCCGAAAUGGACAGAGAUGUGGACGAAUGUAAGAAGAAAAUGGAGAGUUUGCUAUCAGCAUUAAGAAGGGAGAGGAAGAAAAUGAAAGACACUGCUGGAACUGGAAAAGGAACUGACGAAAUGUACAGAAGUUCCUGGUUCGCUUUCGAAAGUCUACGUUUCUUGCUGGACAAAAAUAAACCAAGAAAGACAAUUUCGACGAUGCGAGUAGAAAGCGAAGAGAGAGACGUAGAAUGUGGUGCAGUUGGAGAAUCAGCACAGGAAACUGUACCGAAAAAGAAGAAGCAGCGAGUCGAAGAUGCACGUCUGGACAAAGCCUUUCAUAUAUUGUCGUCCACCGCGAGUCAGCUUAACGAUGAGUGCCAACAUUUUGGAAAUUUGGUCGCAUCUAAGUUGAGACAGUACAACGUUGAUACUAGAUGUACAAUUGAAAAUGACAUUAUGGGUAUUUUCCUUCGCGCUAACAGGGGUUUCUACAAUAACACUCAGAAUUUUAUACAACCACACUAUCCAUGUCAUUUUCCAUCGGACAACUCUGUCAUGCAGUCAAACACUGUAUUGUCCAACCCUACAACCCCGUGUCCUUCAGCAGGAUCACCUACCUUGACGUCUGAUGAUGAUGAUUUCAUUAUUCACGAUCUCUUAUAAAAUAUUUUUGUUUUAAUUACAGUGCUCCUAAUGAUUUGUAACACAGUGUAAACAACUUUGUCAUUUCUUAUAAAUAAAUGUAGAAAAUUACGUUAAUAAAUCUUUCAAUUACACAGUACCGCAGAAUAAGUCAAUACUUACCUUAAUGUAAUCCUCAAGUCCUUCGAUGAGAGCAGAACACACUUCAGGAAUAACUGUGCUGAUAGUCUGUUUUGAAAUUUUAAAUACAUACUGAAGGCUGGUAUACGAAUCACCAGUUGCUAAAAAACGUAAUGUCAAUGCCAGUCUUUCUGUAAUUGGAAUUGCUUUUCUGAACGACGUAUCUCUCUUACCAAUUUUCGCUCCUAUCAAAUUGAUCAACCACUCAAAAUCUGAUGGGUGCAUUCUUGUAAAGUUCUUGUAAAGACCACUGACUGACUGAAAACUUAAGUCUGCCAACAAGUUCGAGCCACUAUAUGUUGUCCUACUUUCAUACAGUUUUGUAAUCCACCAACGGCGAGAUUUCCUUCGCUUUUUAACCGCAUAGUGAAUGUAAAUAUAUACAGCUGCUGCUACUUGCGCCUGUGUACUCAUCGUGCCACUGCUAAGUACGGAAUGGGUCACAGGGAACACACCUCGAACAAUGUUCGCAAACAAUGUUCUUUCGAAAUCUGAACACUGUUCGUAAAAUGUGUCGAACACUGUUCGCUGUUCUGUUCGCUAAAAUGUUCUAGUCUGUACCCGCCUUAAGUCAUUUAUUUAUCUACCAUGCCCCCUUAAGCAUCUACUAAACUUCUCAUUUUUAUUUACUCAUGAUCCCAUUGAUUCUCCACCUUGAAAUUUGGCACAAAUCUAACCAAUAUAUGUAGGAAUAACAUACUUUUUUUUAAAAAAAAAUUAAAAUGGUGUUUUUUAGAAAUUCAAUAUUAAAAAUUUUGAAAACCAAUAAAAAAAAAUUUCUUUCCAAAAUUGGUCAUGUUACAUAUCAAAUUGAAGCCCAUUCAAUGACCUUUAAAAUGAGUUGUCAAACAGUCUUCUAGCACCAUUAGUUGGAAACCUACAAGUAUUUGAGUGAUCCAAAACAUUGCUAAAGUUGGCUAUAUUUGCAAUUUUCAAAAAUUUAU
Bacillus rossius redtenbacheri is the source of this 3465-nucleotide long non-coding RNA. RefSeq lists it as uncharacterized. Lineage: Eukaryota; Metazoa; Arthropoda; Insecta; Phasmatodea; Bacillidae. The transcript is spliced from 3 exons. The record is from RefSeq and is a predicted model, not a curated record.